UACGGAGGGUGCAAGCGUUAUCCGGAUUCACUGGGUUUAAAGGGCGCGUAGGCGGCCUGUUAAGUCGAACGUGAAAUCCCCGGGCUCAACCCGGGAACUGCGUCCGAUACUGGCAGGCUUGAAUCCGGGAGAGGGAUGCGGAAUUCCAGGUGUAGCGGUGAAAUGCGUAGAUAUCUGGAGGAACACCGGUGGCGAAGGCGGCAUCCUGGACCGGCAUUGACGCUGAGGCGCGAAAGCCGGGGGAGCAAACGGG
This 253-nucleotide ribosomal RNA is filed under the name uncultured bacterium. RNAcentral describes it as "partial 16S ribosomal RNA". It matches the Rfam family "Bacterial small subunit ribosomal RNA", at positions 524 to 776 of the family's 1533-position model. The record is from RNAcentral.